Molecule: long non-coding RNA, 2826 nt
Filed under: Homo sapiens (human)
Lineage: Eukaryota; Metazoa; Chordata; Mammalia; Primates; Hominidae
Description: HSALNT0022206
Source: RNAcentral
GGGCUUGGUGGCACAUGCCUGUAAUCCCAGCUACUCUGGAGGCUGAGGCAGGAGAAUUGCUUGAGCCCAGGAGGCAGAGGUUGCAGUGAGCCGAUAUCGCAUCACUACACUCCAGCCUGGGUGACAGAGUGAGAUGUGAGACUCUGUCUAAAAAAAAAAAAAAAUUGAAAUGAGAGUAAAAAUAAUAAACUUUGCAGAAAGUACAAAGAUAGCUCAGAAGAUGGAAGAUGAUUAUCCAUGUUGAGUGAGGAAGGAAAGACAGAAUGGUAAAGGAAAGCUUUGGCUAAAAGAUGGCAUAUUUGGCUGGGCACAGUAAUAUACCUGUAAUCCUGUAUGCCUGUAAUUACACCUGUAAUCCUAGCACUGUGGGAAACCGAGGUGGGAGGAUCACUUGAGGCCAGAAGUUUGAGAUCAGCCUAGGUAACAUAGCAAGGCCCUGUCUCCACAAAGAAAAAAAAAAAAUUAGUUGGGUGUGGUGGUUUAUGCCUGUAGUCCCAGCUACGUGGGAGAUUGAGGCAGGAGGGUCACUUGAGUCCACUUGAGGAGUUUAAGGUUGCAGUGAGCUAUGAUCAUGCCAUUGUAUUCAAUCCUUGGCAACAGAGCAAGACCCUGUCCCCCCCCUCAAAAAAAGUAUAUUUAAGGAGUGGGGGAAAAAAGGGGGUAAAAGAAGAAUAUGAGCUAAAACCUGAAGUCAUGAAGCUGUGUGUACUUGGAAAACUCUGACCAGUUCGUUAUUGCCAGAAUAUAAAAUCUUUUGGAAGUAAGGGACUAAAAGGCUGGAAUGUAGGCAGACUAAAUUAGGAAGAGUUCUAUAUAUCAUGCUGAGGAGCAAGAUUUUAUCUUAUGAUAGAAAGUCGGUGAAAAGUUUUAGGCAGGAGCAGGAGAUGUGAUUAGGAUCAUAUUUUACAAGGAUGACUUCGACAAUAAUAUAGGAGAUGACUUGGAGUGCGCAGAACUGGCAUUAGGGAAACCAGUUAAGAUGUUAUUACAACAGUCCAUAUGAGAGAAAAUAAAAGAUGAUGGCCUGAACUAAGGCAGUGGAAUAAGAUCUGAGAAUAGAGAACAAGUUUCAGAUAUAUUUAGGAGGUAAAAUCAGUAAUGACAGACGAGAUGUUUGGGGAGGUGAUGGUGAAAGAAGCAAUUUUUUAAUUUUUUUUCUUUUUGAUACAGUCUCCCUCUGUCACCCAGGCUGAAGUGCAGAGGCACAAUCUCAGCUCGCUGCAACCUCCACCUCCCAGGUUCAAGCACUUCUCAUCCCUCAGCCUCCCAAGUAGCUGGGAGUACAGGCGUGUGCCACCACAUCCAGCUAAUUUUUCUGUAUUUUUGGUAGAGAUGGGGUUUCGCCAUGUUGGCCAAGCUGGUCUCAAACUCUUGGCCUCAAGUGAUCUGCCAUCCUCAGCCUCCCAAAUUGCUGGGAUUACACUGCACCCGGCCGAGAAGCAAAUUUGCCUAGGUUUAUUCCUAGAUUUCAGCUGGAUAAAUGGGUGGAUGGUUAUGUCAUUAUCAAAGGAGGGAAGACAAGAGAGGAAACAGAGUUGGCAAAUUAUUUGGUUCUAGACUGAUUUUUUGAGAUGUCUGUAAGAUAUGUAGGUGAAAAUAUCCUUUACAAAUUGCAGAUUUGUAUAAUAUUUGUAUUAUAUUUGUAUAAUUUGUAUAAUAUAUAAUUUGUAUAUAUUUGUAUAAUAUUUGUAAUAUAUUUGUAUAAUAAUAUAAUAAAAUCUGGGGCUCAGUUGAAAUGUUUUGCUGAAGGUGUGAGUAGUUAUUAAAAUGGAUGAGAUAAGCCUGGAGAAGAAGAUACAGAGCUAUGCUAUACAGUGUGGUAGGCACUAGACACAUACGACCAUUUUCUUUUUUCUUUUUCUUUUUUUUUGAGAUGGAGUCUCACUCUGUCGCCCAGGCUGGAGUGCAGUGGCGCAAUCCCAGCACACUGCAACCUCCGCCUCCCGGGUUCAAGCGAUUCUCCUGCCUCAGCCUUCUUAGUAGCUGGGAUUAAAGGCACAUAGCACCACGCCCAGCUAAUUUUUGUAUUUUAGUAGAGACAGGAUUUCACCAUGUUGGCCAGGCUGGUCUUGAACUCCUGACCUCAGGUGAUCCACCUGCCUUGGCCUCCCAAAGUGCUGGGAUUACAGGCGUGAGCCACCAUGCCUGGCCUCAUUUUAUUUUUUCUAACAGCGUCAUUGAGAUAUAAUUCACAUACCAUAAAAUUCACCUAUUUAAAGUGUAUAAUUCAGAGUUCAAUCAUCACCACAAUUACUUCUAGAACAUUUUAUCAUCCCCUAAAGAAACUUUGUACCCUUUGGCAGUCACUUCCCAUUUCCCCUCAAUCCUUGAAAUAUUUUUUAAAAAUGUUUAAGGAUGUAGAUGACUUGACCCCUACCUGCAUCCCCAAUCUCAUUUCUUUUUUAUAAUUUUUAAUACCCAAGUUCUGCCUCAGGAUCUAUCCCAACCUCAUUUUAUAACACUCUGCCCCUUGUUCAUUUUACUUCAGCCACUGUGGCUUCCUUUAAGUUCUUUUUCUUUGUCUUCUCAGAGAUGUUGUUUGCUUGCUAUAUACACUAGAAAUCUCAGCUCUUAGUGUGCCUGACCAGACAUCAUCUCCACGGAAAACAUACUCCUAUUUUUAUGUACAGAAGAUCCUCUUUCAACCCUCCAACCCUACCCCAGUUGCUUUCUAGCUCAUCUUCCUGAUUUCAUUUAUAGCAUUUACCACAAUCUAAAAUUUUAUUUACUUAUUAUCUGUCUUGUUUCACAAGAACACAUGCUCAACAAAGGAACAGACUUAUGGUCACUGUUACAUCCACUGUUGAAUGUUCAGUACCUGGCUGG